Molecule: transfer RNA, 71 nt
Filed under: Loxodonta africana (African savanna elephant)
Lineage: Eukaryota; Metazoa; Chordata; Mammalia; Proboscidea; Elephantidae
Rfam family: tRNA
About the family: Transfer RNA (tRNA) molecules are approximately 80 nucleotides in length.
Source: Rfam by way of RNAcentral
ACAUUGGUGGUUUAGUGGUAGAAUUCUCAUCUUCCAUACAAAGCACCUGGGUUUGAUUCCCAACCAAUGUU